RNAcentral lists this ribosomal RNA (305 nucleotides) under uncultured bacterium. Its description in RNAcentral is "bacterial SSU rRNA". It matches the Rfam family "Bacterial small subunit ribosomal RNA", at positions 333 to 635 of the family's 1533-position model. The record is from RNAcentral.
GGGGUCCUACGGGGGGCAGCAGUGAGGAAUAUUGGUCAAUGGGCGAGAGCCUGAACCAGCCAAGUCGCGUGAGGGAGUACUGCCCUAUGGGUUGUAAACCUCUUUUGUCGGGGAGCAAGACCCGCCUCGUGCAGGCGGAGCGAGAGUACCCGAAGAAAAAGCAUCGGCUAACUCCGUGCCAGCAGCCGCGGUAAUACGGAGGAUGCGAGCGUUAUCCGGAUUUAUUGGGUUUAAAGGGUGCGCAGGCGGACCAUCAAGUCAGCGGUAAAAUCGUGGGGCCCAACCCCAUCCCGCCGUUGAAACUG